CGGACCUCUGAUCGAAAA
Molecule: ribosomal RNA, 18 nt
Filed under: Acroporium pungens
Lineage: Eukaryota; Viridiplantae; Streptophyta; Bryopsida; Hypnales; Sematophyllaceae
Description: 25S ribosomal RNA
Source: RNAcentral